UAAAACGUAGGGGGCGAGCGUUAUCCGGAAUCACUGGGCGUAAAGGGCGUCUAGGCGGCCAUUUAGGUCCCGUGUGAAAUCUCCCGGCUCAACUGGGAGGGUGCACGGGAAACCGGAAGGCUAGAGACUCGGAGGGGGGUGCGGAAUUCCCGGUGGAGCGGUGAAAUGCGUUGAUAUCGGGAGGAACACCCGAGGCGAAGGCGGCACCCUGGUCGAGGUCUGACGCUGAAGCGCGAAAGCGUGGGGAGCGAACGGGAUUAGAUACCCCGGUAGUCCACGCUGUAAACGAUGACAACUAGGUGCUGGACACCCAAGGGUGUUCGGUGCCGCAGCCAACGCGUUAAGUUGUCCGCCUGGGGAGUACGGCCGCAAGGCUA
This 377-nucleotide ribosomal RNA is filed under the name uncultured bacterium. Its description in RNAcentral is "bacterial SSU rRNA". It matches the Rfam family "Bacterial small subunit ribosomal RNA", at positions 521 to 896 of the family's 1533-position model. The record is from RNAcentral.